RNAcentral lists this ribosomal RNA (549 nucleotides) under Salmonella enterica. Its description in RNAcentral is "partial 23S ribosomal RNA". It matches the Rfam family "Bacterial large subunit ribosomal RNA", at positions 640 to 1190 of the family's 2925-position model. RNAcentral also lists the same sequence under 2 other names. The record is from RNAcentral. Lineage: Bacteria; Pseudomonadati; Pseudomonadota; Gammaproteobacteria; Enterobacterales; Enterobacteriaceae.
GCAAGGUUAACCGUAUAGGGGAGCCGGAGGGAAACCGAGUCUUAACCGGGCGUUAAGUUGCAGGGUAUAGACCCGAAACCCGGUGAUCUAGCCAUGGGCAGGUUGAAGGUUGGGUAACACUAACUGGAGGACCGAACCGACUAAUGUUGAAAAAUUAGCGGAUGACCUGUGGCUGGGGGUGAAAGGCCAAUCAAACCGGGAGAUAGCUGGUUCUCCCCGAAAGCUAUUUAGGUAGCGCCUCGUGAAUUCAUCUCCGGGGGUAGAGCACUGUUUCGGCUAGGGGGCCAUCCCGGCUUACCAACCCGAUGCAAACUGCGAAUACCGGAGAAUGUUAUCACGGGAGACACACGGCGGGUGCUAACGUCCGUCGUGAAGAGGGAAACAACCCAGACCGCCAGCUAAGGUCCCAAAGUCAUGGUUAAGUGGGAAACGAUGUGGGAAGGCCCAGACAGCCAGGAUGUUGGCUUAGAAGCAGCCAUCAUUUAAAGAAAGCGUAAUAGCUCACUGGUCGAGUCGGCCUGCGCGGAAGAUGUAACGGGGCUAAACCAU